This 269-nucleotide ribosomal RNA is filed under the name uncultured prokaryote. RNAcentral describes it as "partial 16S ribosomal RNA". It matches the Rfam family "Bacterial small subunit ribosomal RNA", at positions 524 to 792 of the family's 1533-position model. The record is from RNAcentral.
GACGGAGGGUGCAAGCGUUGUUCGGAAUUAUUGGGCGUAAAGGGCGCGUAGGCGGCUUCGCAAGUCGAAUGUGAAAGCCCUCGGCUCAACCGAGGAAGUGCAUCCGAAACUGCCAAGCUUGAGUGUCGGAGAGGGUGGUGGAAUUCCUGGUGUAGAGGUGAAAUUCGUAGAUAUCAGGAGGAACACCCGAGGCGAAGGCGACCACCUGGACGAACACUGACGCUGAGGCGCGAAAGCGUGGGGAGCAAACAGGAUUAGAUACCCCCGUA